UUUGUGUGUGAUUAUUGUGCUUGUGUGUAUUUAAUUGUCAUCGGGUGCAUUUACGUGAGUUUUCGUAUUAGAAGGGUAUUUUGGUAAUUUUGUGAGGAUGGGUAAAAUUAUAAUUUUAGUGGGAAUUGCUUUUAGUAAUUAAUAGGGAUAGUUAUUUCAUUAAGUUACUAGAGAGAGUCGAGAUUUUACAGUUAAUGACACUUUACCGUUAUUAAUUAAAAUAUCGUUUGGAGUGUAGUAACAUUUUGGUUUGAAUAGAAAUGGGUUAAGCCCACUAGAAACUAAGUUAAGCCCAUUAGUAGAGAUAACACUAGGGU
Molecule: long non-coding RNA, 317 nt
Filed under: Medicago truncatula (barrel medic)
Lineage: Eukaryota; Viridiplantae; Streptophyta; Magnoliopsida; Fabales; Fabaceae
Description: long non-coding RNA (MTRU_LNC006788)
Source: RNAcentral